Long non-coding RNA from Varroa destructor (honeybee mite), 1618 nucleotides. Lineage: Eukaryota; Metazoa; Arthropoda; Arachnida; Mesostigmata; Varroidae. The record is from RefSeq and is a predicted model, not a curated record.
UAAACCUUGAAAACGAAAUCAAAUCACUGCUUGUCAAUUUCAGCCGCCGUUUUGAAUCGCUACUGGCCGCCAUCAAUGUUUGUUCGGUGAAAGCAGGGCCUGUACCGCCUCGAGGCCAGGAAAAACGAUGCUCCCACUCGUUUUUUGUUGUCAUUGUGUUGCGUAAUGUGUUCUGAACAGUGGACCAUUGAAGCGGGUGAGGACAAUUGAAUUAUCUUUAUACGAGUUUCGCCGCAACUUGAAAGAUAAAUUCAUAAUCGACGCAUGUGCGCUGAACUUCAGCGCCGCACAUUUGCUCAUCGUUGUUCGUUGUGAAACAUGCGUAAUGUGGCUCGAAUGAUUUUUGCCAGUCAGGGAGAGAACUGAGAUCGUUCUGGGAAUGGUCAGGCAGUUACAAGCGAAGAUAAUGAACAGAAGCGCGCACGCUUUCAUCUCAGGAAACUAAAGGAGACAGACAUGCAAGGAACACUGCCUAACGUCACAUUUCCGGAAGGCAGCACGGUAUCAAUAUAACAUAGGAUGCCGGGUCAGAAACUAGAUCAAGCUUAACUGAAUAUUCAUUUGAGCAGCAGGCAGCCGUGCCGCCAGCCAUCUUCGUUUGAUGCAAAUUAGAGUACAAAAACAACUUUACCAGCUUCAAAUACACUCUGCGCCCAUUUAAAGCUUGUUGGCUAACGAAUAUGAGCUAUAACUGGAUGUAAGCCAAGUUGCUUACGGACGUCUAUUUCUCAAAGAAGGAAUGAAUGUGCGUAUGUACAUUAACACAGAUGCGAUGCCGAGGUUAUAUAACGAAGCGCUCUGCACUGUAGAGGGCGGUCGUUUCAACGGAUGUUCGAGUGCCGGAAGGGCUUUCGGAGAAGCUCAUAGACUUCGUGAACUCUCUCGUGAGGUCGAAUUAGCUCCGCGUCAGCACGAACUCAGCUCCUAGGCAGGCAGACAGGAUCAUUCAAGCCCUGCGCCAUGCUUCGGCCGUAUCAGAGAUUUCAACAGAGAUCCAAGUGUAGCCGUGUUACGACGAAUUUACACAAAAGAUUAGCUAACAGGGACGGAGACUCGGCGGGGCAGCCACAGUCACAAGACGAUAAGAAAAAACAAAAAUAUCUAUAUUUUUCCUGAAAUCGACACGUUAACGUCUAUGUGUAUACCUUUGAACACCGGUUAGCGCAGAUAACAACGUUUACGAACUCACGAAGUAUGAUAUAUUUCAAUUCACACUAGUUCGGGCUUGGCAGAGGGGCGAGAUCAAAAGAACGACACGGUGUUCUACCUGGUCAGCAAAAGUGUUCAAGGACUCUCCUACUGCCCUCGGCCAUUGGGGAGCCACUUGAACCAGUUGAUUCCGCUAAGUUGAGCCUCAACAAGCGCGCGGUUAUAUGCGGCCCGACGGAGCUCUCCUGAAGCAGUUGAUGAUAGCUAUCCUGUAAGCACGAAUGAUCUACCUAAUUUCGGUGGUGUUCAUGAUGGGAAAUGUCAACAGCUAAACUACUUUGGAUUCCCAGGGGCGAGCGCGUUUUUACUGCCACGAUCCCAUGUUGUAGGUUUGAGCGCAGUGGAUGACACACUCCACAGAUUGUCUGGUCAAGAUUUAUAAAAUUAUUGAUAACAGUAUGAUUUUACU